UCAGUCAUAAUAUGUCUAAUAAGGGACUGGAGUUUGUUUCUUAGCUUGUUAAUUUCUUUAAUAAUGAUUCUGGGAAAUUGAUUAUUGUUUUCUGGUAUCUUUAUACUUUGUUCGGACAGUAUUGAGGCACAGAAUGCAGUUGCUUAUACAUGUCUUGUUUUUGCAGCGUGGAUGAUUGAUUUCCUAAUGUCACUUUCCAUUUUGAAAACUCAGUUAUCUUGAACGUUUAUCCACACGAGUAUCUGUUCCCCUUUGAAGGUACGUGGUGCAUUGGAUGGCAGAACAGUGGCCUACAAUCGAGGGAUAGUAGGAACAUGACACUUUUGGGAGGUAUAAACAAAAUAUGUACUUUUUCUUUGACUGCUUCAAUCCUUAAAAUAAGAAAUGCUUAAGCCUCACGAGCACCAUACAUAGAUUCUUGACUCUCCUCUAUCAGGAAGAGGGAUGCGGAGGCUUGUCGACCAUGUAAAGUGGAUGUUUGGUAUCACUUUCUUAUGAUUGUAAACUAUCAUGAAAUAGAAAUCAUAUUUGGCAGUGUGAGGGAUCAUUAUUCAGUAGAAAGGGACUGCGACUGUAAUCAUUCACCAGCUAAAACAUUAAUCAUUUCCAAAGUUCUCCUAAUCCUUGCUCUACUUUAUUUUUAUGUCUAAUUUAGUAUUUUUAAAGAAGUUAGUCUUGUAUGAUCUUGAAAAUCAGGCCUUUGGAUGGACUGAGUAUUAUCAAUCAUAGUUGCCUUAGGUGAUAUUUAUAUGAAGUUUUUAGAAUCAUAUUUGACAGCGAGGACAGAUCAAUAUUCAGUGCAAGGGGACAACUGCUGAGAUUAUCCAUCAGUAGAAACUUGAUCAUUUGUAAAAUUCUUCUAAUUCCUUUCUCAUACUUUAAUUUUCUUGUGCAGAUUUAGUACUUUCAAAUAAGCUAGUCUUGUAUGAUCUUGAGAAUCAGAUCAUUGGAUGGACUGAAUAUAACAGUGAGCCUAAAAUUAUUUUCGCUACCCUGGUUUGCUGUUUUACAUUUCUUUCUUAUGCAAGUGGUUGUUGAUAUUAGAAUAUGAUUUGAUAACUUGUGGUGUAUCUUUGUGUUAUUUAGACAUGUCCAUAUUAUCACCAUGAAACACUUACGGUCUCUGCUUUUAUUGUGGGGAUCAAGUUCCAUUUGUACCCACCCUAGAUUUACAAUAAGUUUUCAAGAAAUGCUAAGAUUAGAUUGAUGGGACUGGCAUACUAACUUGACAUGAAGUGAUAUUUAAUUGUAGCAUAAACUGGAAUACAUUACUAUAGAUUUUAAUAGAAAAGGAUCUGAACCUUUAAAACUUCAUAUUGAAAUAACUGCGUUGAAUCAAUCAGUUUGGAUCUAGAAUUUCAACCGAAUGCUAGUUAUUCCUAUAUCCUAGUUUGAUCUCCUUCUCUGGCUCUUUGUUUUGUUAAUUUCCUUAGUUUAGGUAUGCUAAAUUAUAGCUGUAAUGUUGCUGCUUCUAGUUGUUCUAAAUUACAGACGUGUUAAGGCUUUUCAGGCAUCAAAGUGCAGGAUGAACGGACUGGAACUGUACAUUUAGUAGGCUCUCACUCCAUUAGUUCUGCUUGUGGUUUGCCUGUGCGACGGGCUAUAUUGUUUUUGUUGCCAAGUACACUACUGCUCAGUUCAGUUUGCUGAAAUGCUACAACCAAUAAAGAAUAGCAAUGGUCAAAAUUAAGAUAUAGAAAAUCAGAUAUUAAAAAAUAAAUCAUUAGAUUUAUUGAUGAAUGGUGGAAUAUAAUUUGUUUUUUCACUGGACAUUCACUUGGCGUAAUAUUUUAUUCCCAUUGUGAACAGGGGAAACCCACAAAGCUUACAGCUAGUCCCAGGUAGUGUACAGAGAUAUUUUACAUGGCUUAGGUCUUCUAGUAAAUGCAAUUAUAAGAUUAUAUUUAAUUUGAGUUUUGAUAGAACAAGUCCCCUUAUAUUACACAAGUCUGACAAUAUGCAUCUACUGGUUUAAGGUUCAUUUGUCUUUGUCUAGCUUAAAGCACCACCUCUUAAGCCUACACAGAAGCCUGAUUGAAUAUGAUGGGAUUUCGAAGGCACUCAUCCAUUUUGACCUGUGAAAAUUGAGAACAUGUAAAUGCGGGUAACAGAGUGGAGAAAAGGGAUCGAAAAUGAAGCAUAGAAAUCUGCAUGCAUUUAUCCAACAUGGCUUGGAAAAUAGUACUUAAAGAAGGGGUAGAAUCCCAUAAGAAGGAGAAAUAUCGACUACGGAGUUUGAAGAUCCUAAGCAUCAUCACUGUUCGAGGAGGAUGCCACCCUCAUAAAAUGCUCGCCUCACUUAGGAAUAGCAGCAGGAAAGGUGGAUUAGGUUUACCAAGUCAGAGAUCAGCAUAGUUGAUUAAUAAUCUAUGGAAUGUGCUCUGUGUGUGUGUGAUACAACUUGACUCUUCUUCUCGCCUGACUAUGUGUUGUAAUUGUGUGAGCUUGUGCUCAAGUGGCAUGAUUCUUGCAAGAGGGGUCCCUUGGCGUUGCUCUCCUUUCUUGUUUCUUUUAGCCAACAUCGUACUCGGAUAGUACUUAUCUUCACUCCUUUUCCUUCAUUUGACAGUUGAGCAAUGGUGUUUAUAUAUACACGUGGAUCAUUAAAGCAUGCA
This is a long non-coding RNA of Populus trichocarpa (black cottonwood), 2615 nucleotides long. RefSeq lists it as uncharacterized. The transcript is spliced from 4 exons. NCBI's taxonomy places the organism in Eukaryota, Viridiplantae, Streptophyta, Magnoliopsida, Malpighiales, Salicaceae. The record is from RefSeq and is a predicted model, not a curated record.